Molecule: ribosomal RNA, 331 nt
Filed under: uncultured eukaryote
Lineage: Eukaryota
Description: partial 18S ribosomal RNA
Rfam family: Eukaryotic small subunit ribosomal RNA
Source: RNAcentral
CCCUUAGAUGUUCUGGGCCGCACGCGCGCUACACUGUUCGACGCAGCGAGUCUUAACCUUGACCGAAAGGUUUGGGUAAUCUUCAGCAAAGUCGAACGUGAUGGGGAUCGAUCAUUGCAAUUAUUGAUCGUGAACGAGGAAUUCCUAGUAAGUGCAAGUCAUCAGCUUGCGCUGAUUACGUCCCUGCCCUUUGUACACACCGCCCGUCGCUACUACCGAUUGAAUGGUUUAGUGAGAUCUCUGGAUUGACGCUGGCUAGGGGGCGACCCUUGGCCAGGCUGUCGAGAAACUGCUCAAACUUGAUCAUUUAGAGGAAGGAGAAGUCGUAACA